This 717-nucleotide ribosomal RNA is filed under the name Morganella morganii IS15. RNAcentral describes it as "LSU rRNA". It matches the Rfam family "Bacterial large subunit ribosomal RNA", at positions 39 to 797 of the family's 2925-position model. The record is from RNAcentral. Lineage: Bacteria; Pseudomonadati; Pseudomonadota; Gammaproteobacteria; Enterobacterales; Morganellaceae.
GUCAGAGGCGAUGAAGGACGUGCUAAUCUGCGAUAAGCGCCGGUAAGGUGAUAUGAACCGUUAUAACCGGCGAUUUCCGAAUGGGGAAACCCAGUGCAAUUCGUUGCACUAUCAUUACCUGAAUACAUAGGGUAAUGAAGCGAACCGGGAGAACUGAAACAUCUAAGUACCCCGAGGAAAAGAAAUCAAACGAGAUUCCCCCAGUAGCGGCGAGCGAACGGGGAGCAGCCCAGGACCUUAAUCAGCAUCAGUGCUAAGAGAACAGUCUGGAAAGGCUGGCCACAGCAGGUGAUAGCCCUGUAUCUGAAAGCACUGGUGUUGUGAGUCCGAUGAGUAAGGCGGGACACGUGUUAUCCUGUCUGAAUACGGGGGGACCAUCCUCCAAGGCUAAAUACUCCUGACUGACCGAUAGUGAACCAGUACCGUGAGGGAAAGGCGAAAAGAACCCCGGCGAGGGGAGUGAAAAAGAACCUGAAACCGUGUACGUACAAGCAGUGGGAGCACCCUUCGGGGUGUGACUGCGUACCUUUUGUAUAAUGGGUCAGCGACUUAUAUUCUGUAGCAAGGUUAACCGGAUAGGGGAGCCGCAGGGAAACCGAGUCUUAACUGGGCGAAUUAGUUGCAGGGUAUAGACCCGAAACCCGGUGAUCUAGCCAUGGGCAGGUUGAAGGUUGGGUAACACUAACUGGAGGACCGAACCGACUAAUGUUGAAAAAU